GGGGCUGACUGGAUUUGACAGCGAGAUGAAGUGGUAUGUAAGCAUGCAGUGAGUCGCUGGCCCUCACUAUAAUAUCAGUCUGCAAAAGUUUAAUUGGCGAAAAUUCUUACGCUCUCGCUGCUUAAUCGAAGUAUAGUAGAUUAGCCUUAUUUCCUUGCCAGGCGAGGAAACGAGACAUCGCCCUGGAAGCUGUUGUUCCGAAGCGUCCAGAUCAGCGGUGCUAAAAAUUCGGGAAUAGUCCUACGUAGCCUCAUGCGUAGGAUGAAAUUUAGAGGAUAAGGAUGUGAUUGGUGGUUCAGGUCUUGUCACAUCACGAAAACCGAAGUCUGAAAUAAGCAUGUAGAAAGCGUAUGGCUUCCUUGUUUGGACGAGGGUUCAAUCCCCUCCAGCUCCACAA
This 397-nucleotide transfer-messenger RNA is filed under the name Bacteroidaceae. RNAcentral describes it as "UBA4334 sp017961965 Standard tmRNA". It matches the Rfam family "transfer-messenger RNA". From Rfam's summary of the family: Bacterial tmRNA, also known as 10Sa RNA or SsrA, is named for its dual tRNA and mRNA-like properties. Its role is to liberate the mRNA from a stalled ribosome. Lineage: Bacteria; Pseudomonadati; Bacteroidota; Bacteroidia; Bacteroidales. The record is from RNAcentral. RNAcentral also lists the same sequence under 1 other name.